Non-coding RNA from Acanthosepion pharaonis, 112 nucleotides. Lineage: Eukaryota; Metazoa; Mollusca; Cephalopoda; Sepiida; Sepiidae. The record is from the annotation of a GenBank genome assembly.
UACGGUCACGUCACGUUUAAAUAACGGUUCCUGUACGAUCGCCGAAGUUAAGCAACACCGAGCAUGGUCAAUACUUAGAAGGGUGACCGUUUAGGAACACCAGGUGCUGAAA